GAUGAACGCUGGCGGCGUGCCUAAUACAUGCAAGUCGAGCGAACAGAUAAGGAGCUUGCUCCUUUGACGUUAGCGGCGGACGGGUGAGCAACACGUGGAUAACCUACCUAUAAGACUGGGAUAACUUCGGGAAACCGGAGCUAAUACCGGAUAACAUAUUGAACCGCAUGGUUCAAUAGUGAAAGGCGGCUUUGCUGUCACUUAUAGAUGGAUCCGCGCCGUAUUAGCUAGUUGGUAAGGUAACGGCUUACCAAGGCAACGAUACGUAGCCGACCUGAGAGGGUGAUCGGCCACACUGGAACUGAGACACGGUCCAGACUCCUACGGGAGGCAGCAGUAGGGAAUCUUCCGCAAUGGGCGAAAGCCUGACGGAGCAACGCCGCGUGAGUGAUGAAGGUCUUCGGAUCGUAAAACUCUGUUAUCAGGGAAGAACAAAUGUGUAAGUAACUGUGCACAUCUUGACGGUACCUGAUCAGAAAGCCACGGCUAACUACGUG
RNAcentral lists this ribosomal RNA (497 nucleotides) under uncultured bacterium. Its description in RNAcentral is "partial 16S ribosomal RNA". It matches the Rfam family "Bacterial small subunit ribosomal RNA", at positions 28 to 507 of the family's 1533-position model. The record is from RNAcentral.